Long non-coding RNA from Macrobrachium nipponense, 1022 nucleotides. RefSeq lists it as uncharacterized. The record is from RefSeq and is a predicted model, not a curated record. The transcript has 3 exons. Lineage: Eukaryota; Metazoa; Arthropoda; Malacostraca; Decapoda; Palaemonidae.
CUAAAAAACAUUAUGCAGCACCCUAGACUAGGCAAACUGAGGUCGGCCAAUUUAAGGGGAAAAAAUGCAUCAAUGGAAAGAGGAAGACAUGCAAAUGCACUUGGUGUAAGAAAAAUAUUCUAAAAAUUCUCCCUAUCUUCCACGGAAAGUUGAAAGUGACUAUUUACAACCCAUUUUUGGGCCUCUUUUACAAUACAAUCGGACUUACAACUCCUAUAUCUGCAAGUAGCAAGGUAGUCGCACUUUUAACAAUUCUCAGGUCCAAAAAUUCAUCAACUGUUUCCAUUCCGUCGUGGUUGAUAUCUACAUAUACAUGUGUUACACGAAUUUUCACAAUAUACUUGGAGUCUGCCGACUUCGCCCUUCUGAUGAAUUUUGGCACUUCAUUUGCCCUUAAUUGUUUGAUUGUUACUGCAGCCAUUGCUUACAAACCCAAGAAGAAAAAGGAGUAAGCUGUUACUCUACCAGGAAGACUUGGACAGUCAUAAAUGGGACUGCAAAAAAUGUAGAAUGGCCUUGGUAAACACUGUAGGUAUGAUAGAAACAGUUAUGUUUACUCAAAUUUUAAAUGUUAGUUAGAUAGUGAUUAGGAUUCUGAAGCUUUUAUUAAGGACCUCACUAGUAUGUGUCACUGUCUCUUGAAUUUUGAAUGUACAACACACAAAUUUUACACUUCCAGUGGAGCUUAAAAAGGAUGAAGACACGAUACUAACAGUGAGAGCAGUGAGUAGGAUGGUGUAAUUUUAAGUCUUUUGAAUACUUUUUAAAAUUUUUAUUGAAAUAUUUUUAUAUUUAUGUAAUAGUUUGUCUUUGAGUAACUUUUUAUUUUUUACUAAGUGACCAUUUUACUCAAAGUAAGACAAGUCAAUUAGCUGUUAUUAAUGACAUUGUAACCUUACGCAGUAAGUAAAAACGAAAGCUGCUAGGCUGUAUUUACAAAACAGUAAGAAAUCUGUAAUACUAUAAUUUAUGACUGGCAAUAAAUACAAGCUUUGAGGAGUUUCCUCUCGCGAUGCAAGCAA